RNAcentral lists this ribosomal RNA (458 nucleotides) under uncultured bacterium. RNAcentral's name for it is "bacterial SSU rRNA". It matches the Rfam family "Bacterial small subunit ribosomal RNA", at positions 30 to 478 of the family's 1533-position model. The record is from RNAcentral.
AUUGAACGCUGGCGGCAGGCCUAACACAUGCAAGUCGAACGGUAGCACAGAGAGCUUGCUCUCGGGUGACGAGUGGCGGACGGGUGAGUAAUGUCUGGGAAACUGCCUGAUGGAGGGGGAUAACUACUGGAAACGGUAGCUAAUACCGCAUAACGUCGCAAGACCAAAGAGGGGGACCUUCGGGCCCCUUGCCAUCAGAUGUGCCCAGAUGGGAUUAGCUAGUAGGUGGGGUAACGGCUCACCUAGGCGACGAUCCCUAGCUGGUCUGAGAGGAUGACCAGCCACACUGGAACUGAGACACGGUCCAGACUCCUACGGGAGGCAGCAGUGGGGAAUAUUGCACAAUGGGCGCAAGCCUGAUGCAGCCAUGCCGCGUGUAUGAAGAAGGCCUUCGGGUUGUAAAGUACUUUCAGCGGGGAGGAAGGUGUUGUGGUUAAUAACCACAGCAAUUGACGUAC